Molecule: ribosomal RNA, 460 nt
Filed under: uncultured bacterium
Lineage: Bacteria
Description: partial 16S ribosomal RNA
Rfam family: Bacterial small subunit ribosomal RNA
Source: RNAcentral
CCUACGGGAGGCUGCAGUGAGGAAUAUUGGUCAAUGGGCUUACGCCUGAACCAGCAAAGUCGCGUGAGGGAAGAAUGCCCUAUGGGUUGUAAACCUCUUUUGUCAGGGAGCAAUUGGCGCUACGUGUAGCGUUAUCGAGAGUACCUGAAGAACAAGCAUCGGCUAACUCCGUGCCAGCAGCCGCGGUAAUACGUAGGAUGCGAGCGUUAUCCGGAUUUAUUGGGUGUAAAGGGAGCGUAGGCGGACUGCCAAGUCAGCGGUAAAAUCGAGGGGCUCAACCUCGCUCCGCCGUUGAAACUGGCGGUCUUGAGUGGGCGAGAAGUAUGCGGAAUGCGUGGUGUAGCGGUGAAAUGCAUAGAUAUCACGCAGAACUCCGAUUGCGAAGGCAGCAUACCGGCGCCCAACUGACGCUGAAGCACGAAAGCGUGGGUAUCGAACAGGAUUAGAUACCCUUGUAGUC